GGGGUUAUAGCUCAGUGGUAGAGCAUAUGCUUAGCAUGCACGGGGUCCUGGGUUCAAUCCCCAGUCCGUCCA
Transfer RNA from Camelus ferus (Wild Bactrian camel), 72 nucleotides. It matches the Rfam family "tRNA". Rfam says of the family: Transfer RNA (tRNA) molecules are approximately 80 nucleotides in length. Their secondary structure includes four short double-helical elements and three loops (D, anti-codon, and T loops). Lineage: Eukaryota; Metazoa; Chordata; Mammalia; Artiodactyla; Camelidae. The record is from Rfam.